This 1660-nucleotide unclassified non-coding RNA is filed under the name Pogonomyrmex barbatus (red harvester ant). RNAcentral describes it as "uncharacterized LOC105426203, transcript variant X1". Lineage: Eukaryota; Metazoa; Arthropoda; Insecta; Hymenoptera; Formicidae. The record is from RNAcentral.
CAUCGACGGGGCUUACAAGCAACGCGUAUGGAACGAGAUAUCGCAAAAGCUCGGAUACCCAGAACCCGGAGGCGCUCUGUCAGAUUAACGUGGAGGCUAUUCCGGACAGCCUGAUAUUUCCGAAAUCCGCCAGCGGCGGCAACGGCCACACACGGACAGCGUCAUCGCGUGCGUAGUAACAGUGCGUGCGUGCUCAACGCACCGUCUCGUAUACGGGGUGUCUCAGAGCCAUCGGAUACUUUUUUCAAUUACAAUUCAGAAGCGAAUCUCAGAUUUACUCCCGAUAAAAACUUCGCGUAAAAUUGUCAUUUUGUUCCCAUCGUAAGUAUCUCGCUACGAAUUCAAUGCGAGUAACGAGAUUUCAAUUUAUGUAAACUCGGACCGAAUCUUCGUAUUUUAAUUUUUCACUUUUCAAGUCUCAUUAAUUCUUAAAAUUUUAUUAGUAUCUCGUCGAAGGAAAGAUUCUUUCCUGAGGAAAAAUUCAAAUUUGUCGAUUAACCCGAACACCCGGUAUAGCGCGACGCACCUUCCCUUCACCCCUCCCCUCCCCGUACUCCCGGUUAUGGUCUGAUACCGCUCCUCUCUCGCACCCGAUGCUAACGUGGUGUCUCUCUCUUCCGAGGCUCAGCUUGCAGCACGUGACGUCACGGCCGCGUACGAGAAAACGAGAGAGCGACGCAACCGAGGCUCGACAAAGCCGGGUUACACGAGGAAGGAACGCGCGCAAGACGUCUGCGCAGCUCCAGCAUGCCAGUGCUGGAGACACGUGGGAGCCGCUCGUUUGCAAAUCACGAAUGCUCCUUCUUGCUCGUUUUCUUUCACUGCAAGAACAAGAAUGUAACGCGAGAACGGUCACGUUUUCCCUGUCUAUUCCGGGACUCGACACAAAGACGUUCAUUUAGUUGUUAUGCGGUUUCGUAAGCUAUAAACUGUUAACUUAAAAAAUAUUUCGUAAAUAAUGUCGACAAUGUAAUCUAUAUAUUUGUAAAGAAUUCAUCUUUGAGACAUAGGCGAUAAACCGACCGAGUCUUGUUCUCCUAGACAAAAUAAGAAUAAAUAUUUAUCUUUCUCUAAUGAAAAUUGAUAAUACAAUCUGAAUGUAAGACAAAGACAGUUAAGCUCUCUCAUCAUUAUCUAGCAGCGAUUCUGGCGUCUCCCUUGUCAUUAACAAUCUUUCGGCAGGUGCGCGAGUCGUCAGAGGGCCCACCUAAACCCAGCCCUGAGAGAGAUGUUCGACAUUUCUUUUUUCCCUCCUCUCGCGUUCGCCUCUCCUCUCUUUUUCCGACUGUAUUGUCCAUCUCUUUCGCUCGGCCUGUUUACAAACACGAGUAAACUCGGCCGAAUAUAUGACAUCACCGCGCAAGCUCGCACAGCACGCAGCACCGGAAGAAGGGCGACGGCAACGACGACAACGACGACGACGACGACGACGACGGAGUCGGCGUUGACGACGAAAGAGGCUUGCUCUCGCGAUUAUCGAUCCGCGAGAGAACGCGACCCCGGCCACCGUACUUUCGUUUUCUCACGUUUCGCGCACCUCCGCGACAGGCAAUGAACACGCGACACGCGCGCGCGCAGCGGCCGAUCCGCGGGGGACGAAAAUAUCACGGAGAAACAUUCUGCAGCUUCCCUUUGAAAUAAUUUAAUUCGCGCGCAUACG